GGGGGUGACUGGUUUCGACAGGGUAUGUCUGAGGUGGGCAGCAAGCCGUGGUCUCCUCGCCACGUUAAACAGGGGUACCGUCAAAUUUAAUUGACAAUGAUUCUUAUCAGGGCUCUUACGCCCUCGCUGCUUAAUUUUAACUAGCAGCCGUCUAACCGGGAUUUCUCCCGCUCUCGGGGCGACGUCAUCUUAGGGAGAUGCUCGUGCGGAUGUGGUUGGUAUGCCGCACGCAAAGACCAAACCAGCUGGGACGCCGAUCGCGGGUCACGGGGCCUGACGCGUCCGAGACUUGAUACGUGACUGUGCUUGGAGACACCUGCCAGGGAUGUGCUUUGGACCGGAGUUCGAUUCUCCGCACCUCCACCA
RNAcentral lists this transfer-messenger RNA (366 nucleotides) under Atopobiaceae. RNAcentral describes it as "Olsenella_F sp900316105 Standard tmRNA". It matches the Rfam family "transfer-messenger RNA". Rfam says of the family: Bacterial tmRNA, also known as 10Sa RNA or SsrA, is named for its dual tRNA and mRNA-like properties. Its role is to liberate the mRNA from a stalled ribosome. To accomplish this part of the tmRNA is used as a reading frame that ends in a translation stop signal. The record is from RNAcentral. Lineage: Bacteria; Bacillati; Actinomycetota; Coriobacteriia; Coriobacteriales. RNAcentral also lists the same sequence under 1 other name.